Molecule: ribosomal RNA, 497 nt
Filed under: uncultured bacterium
Lineage: Bacteria
Description: partial 16S ribosomal RNA
Rfam family: Bacterial small subunit ribosomal RNA
Source: RNAcentral
GAUGAACGCUGGCGGCGUGCCUAAUACAUGCAAGUCGAGCGAACAGACGAGGAGCUUGCUCCUCUGACGUUAGCGGCGGACGGGUGAGUAACACGUGGAUAACCUACCUAUAAGACUGGGAUAACUUCGGGAAACCGGAGCUAAUACCGGAUAAUAUAUUGAACCGCAUGGUUCAAUAGUGAAAGACGGUUUUGCUGUCACUUAUAGAUGGAUCCGCGCCGCAUUAGCUAGUUGGUAAGGUAACGGCUUACCAAGGCGACGAUACGUAGCCGACCUGAGAGGGUGAUCGGCCACACUGGAACUGAGACACGGUCCAGACUCCUACGGGAGGCAGCAGUAGGGAAUCUUCCGCAAUGGGCGAAAGCCUGACGGAGCAACGCCGCGUGAGUGAUGAAGGUCUUCGGAUCGUAAAACUCUGUUAUUAGGGAAGAACAAAUGUGUAGGUAACUAUGCACGUCUUGACGGUACCUAAUCAGAAAGCCACGGCUAACUACGUG